Non-coding RNA from Camellia sinensis, 182 nucleotides. NCBI's taxonomy places the organism in Eukaryota, Viridiplantae, Streptophyta, Magnoliopsida, Ericales, Theaceae. The record is from RefSeq and is a predicted model, not a curated record.
CUUAGAAAAUGUGUUGAAGUGCCAGAGGAAAACGAUGUAGUUAUGACUGGAAGAUUCCUAUUGUAUUUGAACAAACUCCUGAAGUGGGAUGGAAAGACCAUACGAUAUGCAGAUACACUGAUGGCUACAUUCAGUCAAACUCCAGACGUCCAUUUCUACCUCUGCCGUCAAUGCAGUACCCA